AGUGAACGCUGGCGGUAGGCCUAACACAUGCAAGUCGAACGGCAGCACAGUAAGAGCUUGCUCUUACGGGUGGCGAGUGGCGGACGGGUGAGGAAUACAUCGGAAUCUACUUUUUCGUGGGGGAUAACGUAGGGAAACUUACGCUAAUACCGCAUACGACCUACGGGUGAAAGCAGGGGAUCUUCGGACCUUGCGCGAUUGAAUGAGCCGAUGUCGGAUUAGCUAGUUGGCGGGGUAAAGGCCCACCAAGGCGACGAUCCGUAGCUGGUCUGAGAGGAUGAUCAGCCACACUGGAACUGAGACACGGUCCAGACUCCUACGGGAGGCAGCAGUAGGGAAUAUCGGACAAUGGGCGCAAGCCUGAUCCAGCCAUACCGCGUGGGUGAAGAAGGCCUUCGGGUUGUAAAGCCCUUUUGUUGGGAAAGAAAAGCAGCAGGUUAAUACCCCGCUGUUCUGACGGUACCCAAAGAAUAAGCACCGGCUAACUUCGUG
RNAcentral lists this ribosomal RNA (492 nucleotides) under uncultured bacterium. RNAcentral's name for it is "partial 16S ribosomal RNA". It matches the Rfam family "Bacterial small subunit ribosomal RNA", at positions 29 to 507 of the family's 1533-position model. The record is from RNAcentral.